AGUGAACGCUGGCGGUAGGCCUAACACAUGCAAGUCGAACGGCAGCACAGGAGAGCUUGCUCUCUGGGUAGCGAGUGGCGGACGGGUGAGGAAUACAUCGGAAUCUACUCUGUCGUGGGGGAUAACGUAGGGAAACUUACGCUAAUACCGCAUACGACCUACGGGGGAAAGCAGGGGACCUUCGGGCCUUGCGCGAUUGAAUGAGCCGAUGUCGGAUUAGCUAGUUGGCGGGGUAAAGGCCCACCAAGGCGACGAUCCGUAGCUGGUCUGAGAGGAUGAUCGGCCACACUGGAACUGAGACACGGUCCAGACUCCUACGGGAGGCAGCAGUGGGGAAUAUUGGACAAUGGGCGCAAGCCUGAUCCAGCCAUACCGCGUGGGUGAAGAAGGCCUUCGGGUUGUAAAGCCCUUUUGUUGGGAAAGAAAUCCAGCUGGCUAAUACCCGGUUGGGAUGACGGUACCCAAAGAAUAAGCACCGGCUAACUUCGUGCCAGCAGCCGCAGUAA
This 506-nucleotide ribosomal RNA is filed under the name uncultured bacterium. Its description in RNAcentral is "partial 16S ribosomal RNA". It matches the Rfam family "Bacterial small subunit ribosomal RNA", at positions 29 to 523 of the family's 1533-position model. The record is from RNAcentral.